CGGUACCCAAGUCCCCAUGCCACCGGCUUUAGUUUCCCCUCCACUGGUUACCUCCCUGCCCUGCCCUUCCCCGCCCCAUCCACAGUUGCCUCAGCUUCCUCCUCCUCCUGAAUAUACCCAAGCCCGGCUCCCUACAUCAGAGGCCCGUGCAUACACUUCGGCUUCCGCUGAAGGGUUUGACACAGAUGAUUUCCAAGAGAGUCAGUCACUGCCCCGCCACAUUAAUCGUCCAUCCCGUCCUCCCAUGCAAUCUAGUAACCCUCCCUCCACUUCCCGCCGGUACCAGGGACCAGAUCAGGCCCAUUUAGAUUUAUUACAAUAGGUAACUGGCAAGCCUGUGUCAGCAACCCCUGCCAUGGCAGUGUCUGCGGGGGAUGGGGGAGGGCCCUUGGCUACUGUAGUUCUCCCCGUGGAGGGCCAUCCAACUACCUUUCUAGUCGACACAGGUGCAGCCCGUAGUGUUCUCAGGGAACAAGACCUGCCAGAUCCUUCCUUCUUAUCUGAUACCGAUGUCUCCUGUGUUGGAGUGGAUGGUACACCCCACAGUAACCCCCUUACUAAACUUCUGCAUGUAGGUUCACACAUUCUCUCCCGGUUUGUUGUUUCCUCUACUUGCCCCAUUAACCUCCUAGGUGCUGAUGUUCUCUCUCGGCUCCAGGCAUUACCUUUACUGCUGAUGGUCAGGUCGAGUUAACAACUCCCUUAUCACAAAAAGACACCUCUGUCCUCUGUUCCCUCCCCAUCUUGUUGAACCUAGCUGACAAUACAGGGAAUAUACGGGUCUCACAAACCCCCAGUGCUCUGGAUCGUAUCCCCCAAGAACUUUGGUCCACCGGCCCGGAUGAUAUCGGACGUUUGCAUGUGCCCCCAGUAUUGGUCAAGCUCCUGCCUGGAGCACUGCCUCCCCGUAGGCCACAGCAUCCUCUGAAGCCAGCACAAGCUGAAGCUAUCACCAAACAAGUUGAAAGCCUA
Molecule: non-coding RNA, 972 nt
Organism: Pelobates cultripes (western spadefoot toad)
Lineage: Eukaryota; Metazoa; Chordata; Amphibia; Anura; Pelobatidae
Source: the annotation of a GenBank genome assembly